UAAGGCGACAAAAAUUGGUCUCCUUAAUAUUUUCAGUCCAGAUUUGAUGUAUCAAAUGUCAAUAAAAAUGUCCAUUGACAGUAAGUUGAUAAGCUUGAAUGUUUAUUUACGAGAUAAUUUCAUUGUUUUAAAUCUUAUUAUCUUUUAAUAUUAAAAAAAAUAUUCUUAAACUUUUGUGUGUGUAUAUUUGUGUAUCCAUAAAAAUAGCUAUUAAGGCGACCAGGGAAAAAAUCAUAAUUUUGGUCAAAAAUAGCUAUAUACUAAGCAUUUUUUAUUUGUUUUACUUUAUUUAAAGCCUAUUGUAUAUUAUCCCGAAGUUUCAUUCCAUAAAAAACAGAAAUAAGGAAAUUCGAUAUUUCGUGUACCAUCAGCAUCCAAAUUUUCAAGUAUACAGAAAUUUAACUUUCCGGAAUAUAACGGAAAUUUUCGGGUAUCUCCGUGGUACCAUCUCCGUGCAAUUAUGCAGUAUGGCGUUCAUCUCUUACGGAAAGAGAAUGGUAACUUGGUAAGUGUUUAAAAUACAUAUUCAACGUUUUUUUCGUUUAUUUUUAUGACUUUUGUACAGUAGUAUAAAUCGUCCACCCUUUGGAUGAAAAGCAAAUGAUUUAUCCGGAUUUUGUUCAUCCGAAACUAAAUCACUAGUAUCAACAUCCGGUGUAAUUUUUGCUGGUAUUUUGGAGAAACCCGAUUGAUUUCUAGCAAACUUGGUUUACCACUACAUCGUCGCUUAUUAUUGUUUGUUGCUGCUUGGGACAAUAAAGUUAAGUCAGCAACCGUCUACCAGACUGCAAGAUUCAUCUCUUCCAAAGGAUGUUGUACCUUUCCAGAUACACUGUGUUUUGUGUGGAUAAGAAAUGCAGAGUGGUACCACCAAUCACCUAAUGGGGACAGUUCCUGCAAUUUACAGAAAAGCUCUCAAUUGUAGCCCUAUGAACUUCAGAUACUGCCGAUGGUGAAGCUUGGGUGCACUGGGCCGGUUUUCCAGCCGUGUGGAAUCAACAUCUCCAUCUGAACUGGGGCCGGGAAUUAUAUAAGACUCCUUAGCAGCAUGAGUGCCAGCCAGUCAUUGCUGUUCUUUGCAUUGCUGAGGAGGACAGUCCUGCCAACAUAACAGUUUGUUCAAUAACAGGAGACAAACAGAAACACAGAGGUGCUAUACAUUCUGAUGGAAAAACAAAAGCAUCUCCCAUCAUUUUGGCGUGGCUCAGAUCAAGAGGAGAAUUUUAAGAAAGGUGAUGGUUGGGCACACACAAGAAGACAUAGAUCACAGGUGUCUAGCCAUAUGAGUAGAUACGCUUCUCAAGAUCCCGCACUGCACACUAAGACAUAGUCUUUGACUACAACAAGGUGAUGAAAGUACAGAGAGGUCCAAUUGAAAUCAAUUCUGUGCUGCUGUCAUUUCUUCAUUCUGGAAGUCGAUGGACAUGAUUUAUCAUGGCAUCAAGUGUGCAGUUUGCCGACUACCAGCAGUCUUGUUCACCAGCUGUGCAACUUGAGCUGGUAGCUUUAUUGCUUGAAGCCACUGCAUAAGAGGGGUAAGGUGCAGGCUCAUCAAAAAGUCUCAAAAGUUGAAACUAGGAAAAGAAGUUUAUCAAGAGUGUGAAUCUAUUUUGAAAACAAUCGUAAACAUACUAUGAAUUGAGAUGCUUAAAUAAAAAACCGCUAUUCAAAUAUCAGGAAACUGCCUUUUUCAUACUAAAGGGUAAAUGAUGUCGCCAUUUCCUGUAUGUAUUUAAAUAAGAUAUGUCUCCACAAUUAAUAUUUUUAGGGAAUUUUUCUCAACCUAAUGAAUGAGAUUAAAUUGUACAGUGUUAUAUGAGCUUAAUAUGUGUUUUCUCAUUCUUUAAAAUUGGUGAAAAAUUGUCAGAAGAUAAUUAGACCAGUAUCCAUUACUGCAAUCAUACAAUCAAAUAUACAGGGACAAGCCCACUGGGCAUAUGAUAUAAUUAAACCCUGUUUAGGGGCACGAGGCAAACACUUUCAAACGUUAAAGCUGCACUCUCACACUUUGGAUGUUUUGACAACCUUUUUCAUUUUAUGUCUUGGAUUGGAACCAUCCAAUUUUUGCGAAAAAUUAAAUCCCAGAUUUUUCUAUUUAAGUUAAAACAUUGAUGUUUUUUAUGCACUUUUCUUAAACCGUUAGUAAAUAUUAAUUUUCGAACGGAAAUAUGAAAUC
This is a long non-coding RNA of Mya arenaria, 2176 nucleotides long. RefSeq lists it as uncharacterized. Lineage: Eukaryota; Metazoa; Mollusca; Bivalvia; Myida; Myidae. The record is from RefSeq and is a predicted model, not a curated record. The transcript has 7 exons.